GACAGAGGAUGCAAGCGUUAUCCGGAAUUACUGGGCGUAAAGCGCGCGUAGGUGGUUUGUUAAGUUGGAUGUGAAAUCCCCGGGCUCAACCUGGGAACUGCAUCCAAAACUGGACAAGCUAGAGUAUGGUAGAGGGUGGUGGAAUUUCCUGGUGUAGCGGUGAAAUGCGUAGAUAUAGGAAGGAACACCAGUGGCGAAGGCGACCACCUGGACUGAGUACUGACACUGAGGUGCGAAAGCGUGGGGAGCAAACAGG
This 256-nucleotide ribosomal RNA is filed under the name uncultured bacterium. RNAcentral's name for it is "partial 16S ribosomal RNA". It matches the Rfam family "Bacterial small subunit ribosomal RNA", at positions 524 to 776 of the family's 1533-position model. The record is from RNAcentral.